AGUGAACGCUGGCGGUAGGCCUAACACAUGCAAGUCGAACGGCAGCACAGUAAGAGCUUGCUCUUACGGGUGGCGAGUGGCGGACGGGUGAGGAAUACAUCGGAAUCUACUUUUUCGUGGGGGAUAACGUAGGGAAACUUACGCUAAUACCGCAUACGACCUACGGGUGAAAGCAGGGGAUCUUCGGACCUUGCGCGAUUGAAUGAGCCGAUGUCGGAUUAGCUAGUUGGCGGGGUAAAGGCCCACCAAGGCGACGAUCCGUAGCUGGUCUGAGAGGAUGAUCGGCCACACUGGAACUGAGACACGGUCCAGACUCCUACGGGAGGCAGCAGUGGGGAAUAUUGGACAAUGGGCGCAAGCCUGGUCCAGCCAUACCGCGUGGGUGAAGAAGGCCUUCGGGUUGUAAAGCCCUUUUGUUGGGAAAGAAAAGCAGCAGGUUAAUACCCCGCUGUUCUGACGGUACCCAAAGAAUAAGCACCGGCUAACUUCGUG
This 492-nucleotide ribosomal RNA is filed under the name uncultured bacterium. Its description in RNAcentral is "partial 16S ribosomal RNA". It matches the Rfam family "Bacterial small subunit ribosomal RNA", at positions 29 to 507 of the family's 1533-position model. The record is from RNAcentral.